RNAcentral lists this ribosomal RNA (309 nucleotides) under Triticum aestivum (bread wheat). RNAcentral's name for it is "partial small subunit ribosomal RNA". Lineage: Eukaryota; Viridiplantae; Streptophyta; Magnoliopsida; Poales; Poaceae. The record is from RNAcentral.
AUGAUGGCACCGGCAAGGACUGCAUCUUCAGGACUCCUCAAGAUUUCGAGACUCGAGACAAGAAUUCAAUACACACUACUGGGUGAAGGAUGGUUGAUGGGCACCCUGGAGAAACCAGUGGUUGGCCGGGAUGCAUGGAGAAGCGCCAUGACAUCUUGCGGAAAGCUUCACCCAGACUCAAAGAGACGGAAGGAUACUUCAUCCCCGGAAGCUUACCUGUGCAACCGCAAGUCACUAUGGGCUUUGGCUUGGUUGACCUUAGUGGUGACUCUGGCUGGGACGGUGCUAGCAGAUGUAGAACUACGAUAG